GUGCUCACUUCAGCAGCACACACACUAAAAUUGGAACCAUACAGAGAAGAUUAGCAUGGCCCCUGUGCAACGACAACACGGAAAUUCAUGAAGCAUUCCAUAUUUUU
Lagenorhynchus albirostris (white-beaked dolphin) is the source of this 107-nucleotide small nuclear RNA. NCBI's taxonomy places the organism in Eukaryota, Metazoa, Chordata, Mammalia, Artiodactyla, Delphinidae. The record is from RefSeq and is a predicted model, not a curated record.